UAGAUCCAGGAAAUGGAGAAUGAGCCGUGAA
This 31-nucleotide non-coding RNA is filed under the name Homo sapiens (human). The record is from RNAcentral. Lineage: Eukaryota; Metazoa; Chordata; Mammalia; Primates; Hominidae.